AGCCCAUUUCUGGUGUCCCCCGACAUGAUAUUGAUGGAAUAUUGCUAAAAGCGGCGUAAAACCAAAGUCACUCACUCACUAUUUCUGGAACCAGAUGUUGAAUUUUGACCCACAAAACAAGUGCUCAUUAUAAUGCUCCCCUUACCGGUCAGCAUUAAUGCUUGACACUCAUUUAGUAGGUCAUAGCGCUGGACCAUCAUCAUUGUAACAUUUGUUCACAGUGAAGGAUGGGAAUGAAAGUUUGACAAUUGAUCCUUUAAUCAUUUUCAUCAAGCGAUAACAUCGUUGAGGAAUUUGUCACCAAGGUGAAGGUUAGUUAUUGUCCGAGAUGAAUUAAUCUGUAUGUGUAUAUUCGCUAUCAAAACGCACAGGUAAUGAUGACCUCUGACCUCUGACCUCUUCCAUGACUGAUUGAUGGCUGAUACAUGAUGUCUUAGAUUUGUAGCUAUGUCUGUAUGUAUUAAUUCAAGAACGUAUUGAUUACAAAUGCUGUGUCUAUCUCAUUUGGGGAGCAAUCAGUGAUAUUAUGAAAUUAUUCACAUGUCCUAUUAUUCCUUGAGAAAGUCAAUAGUCCAGAUAUGCAGUGUUCUACUGUAAUGACAAACAGCAUAUUUCUCAACAGGUUUUUCUAAAUAUUUGUGGUAUUUUAGAUAUGUAAUUUUUUAAUUUGUGUAAAUUUAUUCAUUUCAUCAAAUCUUAUAAAUUUGUAUUAUAUUAUAUUGUUUCUUCAACUCUUUGCCAACAGUAUGGCAUGUUUAUACACAAACCAGCCAUAUUCUUUCUUGAGAAUUUGGUUUGUUAUAAAGUAGUGAAAUUCAGAGAAAGACUUUUGAUUGUUUGUAACUUCUAUUAUUGUCGCUUGUCACAUUCACUUGGCUGUUAGUGAUGCUGUUUGUUACUCAUCUAUGUCAACAGUGGGUUUUGAUCAUUGUCAGUACCUCAAGGUUUGUAUUCACGGUGUUCCUUCAUCAUGAAGUAAUACAUCAGUCAGUGUAUAACGCAUAGCAGUUGAGGGGAUGUGGGGUAGUCUAGUGGUUAAAGUGUUCGCUCGUCACUCCGAAGAGCCGGGUUCGAUUCCCCACAUGGGUACAAUGUGUGAAGCCCAUUUCUGGUGUCCCCCUCCGUGAUAUUGCUGGAAUAUUGCUAAAAAGCGGCAUAAAACUCAACUCACUCACUCACUCUUAGCAGUUGAGUGCACCUAGUACUAAUUGGCCUUAGUAGUUUCGACCAAUAUUUCCAUCUGUUGUAUUCAUACUGCCACCAAUAUUUCUUUUAAUAACUAAACUAUGACAUUGUCGGUUACCGUGGCAGCGGGUAAUAUUUUUUCCAGUUGUCACCCUCCUGGAGGGGUGACACAGAAACUUGUUAAAAUGUCACUGACCAAUGAAAUUAAAGUAUCUUAUAUGAAGGUAAGAUAAAACAAUGUUUUAAUAGUUCCAAAAUCAUCCCGAUUAGAUAUAAUCUAGUUUAAAAUGAUACGUCAAUUCAUAUCUAGGUUCAACUCGAUAUGUCAUUUUGUAUCCAUGGUAUAUUUUUAUGGUAAACCGAUCAAGAGUGUCCCCAUGACUACCAAACUGUACAGGUACUGUAUAGGAAUGUGUGUACAAACCUAUAUAGACAAUUGAUGAUAUCAAUGAACUAUUUGCUCAACUGUUGCCAAUGAAUACCGGUAAGUUCUUAAAUCAGAGAAAAUGAGUAGAUGGAAGAAAUGUUAUGUUGAUGAUCUCCAGUGAGUAGACUGAAAUUGAUGUAUAAGCUUAUCCUGAUCAAGAAUAUAAAUGAAUUGUCAAUAAACUCUGAUGAAUCAAGUAAAUGCAGCGUUGAUAUGGCAGUGGAACUUUGGCAUUUUUCCAUCAGCAACUCUAAAUUGGAUCUUGUCAAAUCUGUGAGGCAGACAAUAUUUUUUCACUUGAUUCCCAGGCUUGUUGUCUUUCAUGGUGGACUUUUAACCUUGCUUUUACUCUUGAUAUCAACAGAACUACUAGUAACUAGAAAUCUAUAAUUGAAUCUUGUUGAAAAAAUAUUCUAAAAGCUUGAAAUCGUAGUGAAUUAUGACAAAUUGCAAGAAGAAAUAGAAAUGAACAAUUUAAAAAUUGUAUGUAUUUUUCAGUUCGGGAAUAUUUUUUCUGAUGAACCUGAAUUUUAGAGUCGGAAAUUCAUACCCUUUGGUGUCACACUGUCAAAGUUAUUGUUCUAAAAGCAGUUUCAGAAUAUUAUUGUCGUAAAGAUGUUGAUACAAUUGUUGACAGGAGCAAAAAAGAUGAAUGUUUAAGAAAAUGUUUAGAAGACAAAUACUCUGGGACUAGAUAGUCAAUAUUGUUUCCUCUGAAUUCCUACUCUUCCUCCACAAGAUCUUCCUCCCAUCGGAUGUUCUGGAGAUUCUUUCUCUGCUUGCCUUAUAUGAUGGUGCUUACUUGCUGUGAUUUCUCUCCUCUAAGUGUGGGCCAGGACUGGGUAGAUCUCACUAUUCUGUAUUACCUGGAUAGUGAAGGCCUCAUUUUUCUAGUCCCUGGAUAGUGUAGGCCUGUACUCUUUAGUUCCUGGAUAGUGUAGGCCUCAUUUUUCUAGUUCCUGGCUAUGUAGUCCUGUACUCUUUAGUUCCUGGAUAGUGUAGGCCCCAUUUUUCUAGUUCCUGGAUAGUGUAGGCCCCAUUUUUCUAGUUCCUGGAUAGUGUAGGCCCCAUUUUUCUAGUUCCUGGAUAGUGUAGUCCUGUACUCUUUAGUUCCUGGAUAGUGUAUGCCCCAUUUUUCUAGUUCCUGGAUAGUGUAGGCCUCAUUUUUCUAGUUCCUGGAUAGUGUAGGCCUCAUUUUUCUAGUUCCUGGACAGUGUAGGCCUCAAGUCUCUCAUUCCUGGAUAGUUCAGGACCGUACUCUUUUGUUCCUGGAAACUGUAGGCCUCAAUUCCCUAGUUCCUGGAUAGUUAAAGCAUCGAUUCUCUGGUUCUUGGAUAGUGUGGGCCUUCAUUCUCUAGUUCCUGGAUAGUGUAGGCCUCAAGUCUCUAGUUCCUGGAUAGUGUAGGCCUCAAGUCUCUAGUUCCUGGAUAGUGUAGGCCUCAAGUCUCUAGUUCCUGGAUAGUGUAAGCCACAAUUCUCUAGUUCCUGGAUAGUUUAGGCCAGUAUUUUUUAGUUCCUGGAUAGUGUAGGCCUCAUUUCUCUAGUGCCUGGAUAGUGUGAUCUUCAAUUCUCUAGUGCCAAGAUAGUAUAUGCCUCUUGACAUAAUUGCCCGGAUAGUGUAGACCUAAAUUCCCCGGUGCCUGGAUAGGGUUGGCCUCAAUUCGAUUGUGCCUGGAUAGCAUAGGUUUAAUUACUUUCUAGUGCCUAUAUACUGUAGACUUCACUCUUCUCUCAUGUCUGGAUAGUGUGGGCAUCUCUACUCAAGUACCUGGAUAGUGUAGACUGCACUAGUCUCUAGAGCCUGCAUAGUUAAGGCAACUCCUCUUCCUGGAUAGUCAAGGCAACCCUACUCUCUAGUGCCUGGAUAGUCUAGGCAUUUCUAGUCAUAGUUCCCGGAUAGUAUAUACUCUCUAGUGCCUGAAAACCAGACUUCAAAGGGUUCUUGGAUACUAAUCUGGUUUUGCAUCAAAUUUGCUCAUUCUGGCAGUAAUUGUGUUAUAUUGUAGUAUGACUGGUCAAUAUAUGGGUACCAGUAAGUUGUAAUAUUGUGAUAGUGAUUAUGGCAAUUGUUUAGACUUGAUAAUAUUCAACUAUCUAUUAGCCUUGAAUCUCUAUAUUUUUCCUAUUAAAUUUAUAUUUCAGAAUAUAAUGUUAUUGGAUCACUAUGUCUUUUUCUAUGGUGCUAUUUGUAAUACUACAAAUUUAGCUGGAUUCCAUAACUGCUUGAGGCUCUCCUUGCAUCAUUGCAAUAUUAUAGAGAAUAAUAGUGAGAAAAGUUGUAAUACAUUGGAAUGAUUAAUUCAACCAAGGGAAAUUGUUUAUGUAAAGUGUACAAGACUCCUAUUCCUUCUUAAUGCUUACUAGUACAGCAAUAUUUAUAUUUUUGUCAUAUUAUGAAAAAAAGUUGCAAAGGCUUGUUUGAAAAACAAAUUUGUAUUCUUUUUUCUACUUUUUUUUUUUUCCAUUUUUCAAACAGGAUGGAAAGAGGUGUGAACUUUGGUGUCAUUUUGGUCAAUGAAAUACCAGCCAAACUAGACAGAGGAUGGGGAACAUGCACCCUUCCUGACAUGGAUGUGAACAUGUUAGAACAAACUGUGUUAACAAUGCUUGGAUGAUAGGCAACUAAAUCAACUAAAGUACUGUCGGAAAUAGAAAAAAAACUGUUUUUGGAAUAUUGCUGGCUACAGCAUGGAAACAUACAAAAACAAAACAAAUAUAAAAACAAUGAUAGAUCUUUUCCAUUUUAGUCCCGCUCAAUAUAUUUCUUGUUUCAUGGGAUAUUUUCUCAGUAUACAAGGAAGGAGAUAAAAUAAGGGGUUAAGUAUAGACGUUUAAUUUCCGUAAAAGAAUCUGGAAAAUAGUUUUAACCAAUCUACAGACUAAAAUAAUCAUAAUUCAUAUUUUCAAUCUUAUAUAGCAUAUUGUUAUUUUUUUUAAAUUAAGACUCACUAGUACUAGGUAAUAGCUUUGCCAAUUGCCAAACAAGAUCUCAUUUCCAUAUUUCAUGAAAAAUAAUGGCCAUGGAAUCUCUAUUGUAGGAUCUCAAAUAACAGGAAAACCACCUUCUUUAAGUACCUGUCAUAUCUUUGAACUGUGGGCUUAAUCUCACAGUAGAUUGACCGAAUUAUAAACUCUCUUUUUAUUAGGUCAGGUAGUUCAAAUAUUGUGUAUUUAUUGUUUUUAUCGAAUCUGCAUCGUUGUUUUCGGCCUCUUUGUUGUUUCGGUCGACAUGAGGUUGUUUGGUGUAUAAUGUUGUACAUUCCAGCAGAACAAAAUGAUCCAACUGUGGUCACAAUUCUUUCUUUGCUGAGGCUUUUUGGUUUCAUAUUGUGAUACUUUUGUCGAACAAUUUGGUUGUUGUUUGUAAUUUUACAUCUGAAAAUCGAAAGGCGAUUGCCUUCUGAAGAUACUCAUAUGUUGUAUGUGAAUUGGAUUUCUGCUACUUGUUCAUGUGACGAACAAUUUGUUGGUUUCAAUGUGAAAACAAUCUUAGCAUCUGAUGGUCAAGGUUUUACAUAUUGACAGUCCAGCAAAGUUGGACAUUGACUGACCUGGUGAAGUUUAUGCGGAUUUGGAACUGAGACUCUAGGGUUUUAUGCAAUGCAGAUAAGUGCAUCUGCUAGGGGUGAAACGGUACGUUCUUACCACGGUAGCGGUGUGUAUUGCGGUACAAAGCCUUCGGUUUGGUCCAUUUCUGUUCGAUAUAUAAGAUAUGCAGAAAAUUGAGCCAAAGAGCCAAACAGUACAUUGUUUCAUGACAUGAGGGCAAAAUAACCAUAAUAUUUGUUAUUUUGAAUGAACAAAACUGUCACUUUAUGACUGCAUAGAAAUGACAGUACAAAAUACUGAAUUUUUGGAUUGUAUUUGGUAUACUGAUCCGAAGGCAAAAUACCACGGUUCUACUAAUUCCGCGGUUCUACUAAUUCCGCAGUAUACCGUUUCACCCCUAGCAUCUGGUAUACACAAAUGUAUAGAAUGGUCGCAGAAAAAUACUUAUUGCAUCCCAAGGGAUGUAUAAUACCAUUCACUGUACAUCACUGUACCAAAUUUUCCACAAGAAUUAUAGAGUUGAUAUUAUCGACAUUAUCAUUACAUCUUAAAGUACAGUAUGCUACUUCAUCACUCUAGAGGACCUUAAAGUACAGUAUGCUACUUCAUCACUCUAGAGGACCUUAAAGUACAGUAUGCUACUUCAUCACUCUAGAGGACCUUAUAGUACAGUAUGCUACUUCAUCACUCUAUAGGACCUUAAAGUACAGUAUGCUACUUCAUCACUCUAUUGGACCUUAAAGUACAGUAUGCUACUUCAUCACUCUAUAGGACCUUAAAGUACAGUAUGCUACUUCACUCUAGAGGACCUUAAAGUACAGUAUGCUACUUCAUCACUCUAUAGGACCUUAAAGUACAGUAUGCUACUUCAUCACUCUAUAGGACCUUAAAGUACAGUAUGCUACUUCAUCACUCUAUAGGACCUUAAAGUACAGUAUGCUACCGUCACUCUCUAGGACCUUAAAGUACAGUAUGCUACUUCAUCACUCUAUAGGACCUUAAAGUACAGUAUGCUACUUCAUCACUCUAUAGGACCUUAAAGUACAGUAUGCUACCAUCACUCUAUAGGACCUUAAAGUACAGUAUGCUACUUCAUCACUCUAGAGGACCUUAAAGUACAGUAUGCUACUUCAUCACUCUAGAGGACCUUAAAGUACAGUAUGCUACCAUCACUCUAUAGGACCUUAAAGUACAGUAUGCUACUUCAUCACUCUAUAGGACCUUUAAGUACAGUAUGCUACUUCAUCACUCUAUAGGACUUUCAUGUUUCCUGCAAGGACCUAUGAAUUACUUGGAAUCCUCUAUACCACGAAUAUUGUUGGUCAAGGUAAAACCCAGAACAAUCUUUCCUGUACCUUGAACCAAGCUAAGGGAGUCACUGAACGGCGUUUAGAAGAAAUGCACAUAAAGGCAAGAAUUUAUGAAUGUCAACUUCUUCAUUUCACCACGACCGCCGUGAUAUUGCUGGAAUAUUGCUAAAAGCUGCGUAAAACUCACUCACUCACUCACUUAUUUCACCAUGAUGGACAAUCACAAAUAAAGAAAUUGACAUCCAUAAAAUCUUUGCCUUAAAGCUAGGGGAGUUACUGUUACUGUCCAGAUCAACAUGUUACCAUGGUAACAAUUCCUGGAUACUGUGCUCUUUGAGUCUAUGUCCAUGCUUAUGUAUUGAAUCUUAGAUCGGUGGGAGAAUGUGGAGAGUCCAAAUAUAGAAGUCACUGUUUACAAAUCAAAUUGUUGAAUAUAUUUCUCUUGCUAUGUUUGUUACAAUGUUCAGAUUUUGAUUCAGUCAAUGCUUCUUUGUUAUGCAUGUUGCAUAUUGAAGGUUGUGAUUCCACUUGUUUAAUAUUGUCAUCGUUAUUCAAAUAUUUAUGUCUAAGCUGCCAGGCAUAAAUGUUCUGUCCCAGAAAUAAAACCUCUCUGAAAAACUG
RNAcentral lists this long non-coding RNA (7092 nucleotides) under Haliotis rubra (blacklip abalone). RNAcentral describes it as "uncharacterized LOC124289447, transcript variant X1". The record is from RNAcentral. Lineage: Eukaryota; Metazoa; Mollusca; Gastropoda; Lepetellida; Haliotidae.